This 253-nucleotide ribosomal RNA is filed under the name uncultured bacterium. RNAcentral's name for it is "partial 16S ribosomal RNA". It matches the Rfam family "Bacterial small subunit ribosomal RNA", at positions 524 to 776 of the family's 1533-position model. The record is from RNAcentral.
UACGUAGGGCGCAAGCGUUAUCCGGAAUUAUUGGGCGUAAAGCGCACGUAGGCGGUUCGUUAUGUCGGAUGUGAAAGCCCUUGGCUUAACCGAGGAAGUGCAUCCGAAACUGGCGAGCUAGAGUACUAAAGAGGAUCGCGGAAUUCCCGGUGUAGAGGUGAAAUUCGUAGAUAUCGGGAGGAACACCGGUGGCGAAGGCGGCGAUCUGGGUAGAUACUGACGCUGAGGUGCGAAAGCGUGGGGAGCAAACAGG